This is a long non-coding RNA of Impatiens glandulifera, 1533 nucleotides long. RefSeq lists it as uncharacterized. The record is from RefSeq and is a predicted model, not a curated record. NCBI's taxonomy places the organism in Eukaryota, Viridiplantae, Streptophyta, Magnoliopsida, Ericales, Balsaminaceae. The transcript is spliced from 2 exons.
AUUGCUGUUACAGAUACAAGGAAGUUGGUGACCUGAUCAUAGGGUGACUAAUACAAAGGUGAAAAUAGCGAGACAAUAGUUUCUCUUUUCUUCUUUCUUCUUCGUUGUCGUCUUGCUCCGUCGUCGACGUUGCCGCCGCCCUUCUAAUAAGGUAAUCCUUCCGUCGACUGAUCUUGAUGCGUGAUGAUAAUAUAUCUCAUUUCUACUACUUAUUUGCUUCAAUUGUUAUUAUAAAUAGAUUAAAUAAAAAGAAGAAUCCAUCAAUUCAAAUAAUUCAUUCAUGAACCCUAAUUUAUCUUCUAUGAGAGACUGAACAGGUGCGGACCCUCCCUCCUUCUAUGGUGAUUUUAUCUUCUCUGAUGUAUCUUUGAACUUAUCCAUUCAAUAAGAGAAGACGAGGCAGAGGUUAGAAGCUAGUUUCUAAGCAAUGAUGGGAGUCGGAGCUCAGGAAGUUUCUUUGCAAAUUCCAAUUUCCCCAAUUUCGCCAAAAUCUCUUCGAUUCCAUCUUUCGGCAAGCCCCACCGGUCUUUCUCUCACUUAUCAUCCUCUAGAUCGUCUCUCCACAUUAUGAAGGUUGUCCUCUCAUCUUCCGUUAAAUUUGGAAAUGAAGAAUACAGUGAAGAAGAAGAACCUGCAACCAAGGUUAAGUUUCAAGACAAUAUUAACCAUUCCAGGUUGCUCAACUUCAUUGUCUCUACUAGGAACAGGUCUGUAAAUUGCCAAAUGAGAUUAUAUAGAAAACAAAGAAGAUUAAUAUGAAAUUGUUUCUUUGAUAUAAUGAUUUUCAGGAUAUAGGGAGAAAGUUUUUGCAAUAAUUGGUGUUAAGGUAUAUGAUGUCGGAGCCCGAAUUAUACAUAUAUGAAUCUAUUCUAAGCAACUUAUAUGCAUGGAAAUGACAAUCACUGGAAGAUAUUAAAGGCGAUUCAUCUCUUUUCAACACCAUAUUUUAGGAUCCAAUUGAGAAAUCACUACAGAUUGUUCUUGUGAGGGAUGUUGAUGGAAAAACCAUUUGGGAUGCUUUAAACGAUGCAUUUUCCCCGAGAUUAGUUAAGCCUACUCCUAUAGAUGAAUCUGCUCUCUCCACUUUCCGUAGCUUUUUUCAAGGACGAUCACUCAACAAAUGUUCUGUCAUCUUCCUCACUUGGCUCAAUCCAACCAAAAUGCUAGUAAGUAUACACAAACAAACGCAACUCUCCGAUAAUCCUUCCCUGUUUCUAAAAAAACAAUGUUUUUUUCAAGUGGGCGUGUCUGAUGGUGAUGGUGUGACAACUAAAAUUGAGUCUAGUAAUGUAGCAUGGGAACUUUUCGAUGUUUUCUUUAGUAAAGAUCCAGUUUCUCCUUCUUUGAAGGAUUCAAUUGCUAGAGGUCUAGUAAAGUUGGUUUGAUUUGAUCAUCUUCUUUUAUUCUAUCAUUUUAACAACUUCAGCCUUUGAAGGUCUCUUUGAAGGUUCAUGCUCUAAGCACAUUAAUGUAAUCGAGAAUAUAUUUUUGGGAUUGAUUUGAUUAGUAUAUUGGGAUUGAUUGAUUUUUGGA